This 1667-nucleotide long non-coding RNA is filed under the name Homo sapiens (human). RNAcentral describes it as "PREDICTED lncRNA (TCONS_00229148)". Lineage: Eukaryota; Metazoa; Chordata; Mammalia; Primates; Hominidae. The record is from RNAcentral.
CCCAGGUGAAAUAAACAGCCAUGUUGCUCACACAAAGCCUGUUUGGUGGUCUCUUCACACGGACGCACAUGAAAUUUGGUGCCGUGACUCAGAUCGGGGGACCUCCCUUGGGAGAUCAAUCCCCUGUCCUCCUGCUCUUUGCGAAAGAUCCACCUACGACCUCAGGUCCUCGGACCGACCAGCCCAAGAAACAUCUCACCAAUUUCAAAUCCGUGCUGCUUGACCCCAAUACAAACUCGACAGUAGUUCCAAAUAGCCGGAAAAUGGCACUUUCAAUUUUUCCAUCCUACAAGAUCUAAAUAAUUCUUGUCGUACAAUGGGCAAAUGGUCUGAGGUGCCUGACAUCCAGGCAUUCUUUUACACAUCGGUCCCUCUCUAGUCUCUGUUCCCAAUGCAACUCGUCCCAAAUCUUCCUCCUUUCCCUCCCGCCUGUCCCCUCAGUCCCAACCCCAAGCGUCGCUGAGUCUUUCUAAUCUUCCUUUUCUACAGACUCAUCUGACCUCUCCCCUCCUCCCCAGGCUGCUCCUCGCCAGGCCGAGCUAGGUCCCAAUUCUUUCUCAGCCUCCGCUCCUCCACCCUAUAAUCCUUUUAUCACCUCCCCUCCUCACACACAGUCUGGCUUACAGUUUCGUUCCGUGACUAGCCCUCCCCACCUGCCCAGCAAUUUACUCUUAAAAAGGUGGCUGGAGCUAAAGGCAUAGUCAAGGUUAAUGCUCCUUUUUCUUUAUCCCAAAUCGGAUAGCGUUUAGGCUCUUUUUCAUCAAAUAUAAAAAUCCAGCCCAGUUCAUGGCUCGUUUGGCAGCAACCCUGAGACGCUUUACAGCCCUAGACCCUAAAAGUUCAAAAGGCCGUCUUAUUCUCAAAAUACACUUUAUUACCCAAUCUGCUCCCGACAUUAAAGAAAACUCCAAAAAUUAAAUUCCAGCCCUCAAACCCCACAACAGGAUUUAAUUAACCUCGCCUUCAAGGUGUACAAUAAUAGAGAAAAGUUGCAAUUCCUUGCCUCCACUGUGAGACAAACCCCAGCCACAUCUCCAGCACACAAGAACUUCCAAACGCCUGAACCGCAGCAGCCAGGCGUUCCUCCAGAACCUCCUCCCCCAGGAGCUUGCUACAAGUGCCAGAAAUCUGGCCACCAGGCCAAGGAAUGCCUGCAGCCCAGGAUUCCUCCUAAGCUGAGUCCCAUCUGUGCGGGACCCCACUGGAAAUCGGACUGUCUAACUCACCUGGCAGCCACUCCCAGCGCCCCUGGAAUUCUGGCCCAAGGCUCUCUGACUGCUUCCCACAUCUUCUUGGCUUAGCGGCUGAAGACUGAUGCUGCCCGAUCGCCUCGGAAGCCCCCUACAAGACCAUCACGGAUGCCGAGCUUCGCGUAACUCUCACAGUGGAGGGUACACAUCCAGAUGGCCGGUUCCUGCCUUAACUGAUGACAUUCUACCACAAAAGAAGUGAAAAUGGCCUGUUCCUGCCUUAACUGAUGACAUUGCCUUGUGAAAUUCCUUCUCCUAGCUCAUCCUGGCUCAAAAGCUCCCCUACUGAGCACCUUGUGACCCCUACUCUGCCCGCCAGAGAACAAACCAACCCCUCUUUGACUGUAAUUUUCCUUUACCUACCCAAAUCCUAUAAAACGGCCCCACCCCUAUCUCCCUUCGCUGACUCUCUUUUCG